Molecule: ribosomal RNA, 255 nt
Filed under: uncultured bacterium
Lineage: Bacteria
Description: partial 16S ribosomal RNA
Rfam family: Bacterial small subunit ribosomal RNA
Source: RNAcentral
UACAGAGGGUGCGAGCGUUGUCCGGAAUCACUGGGCGUAAAGGGCGCGUAGGUGGUGGCUUAAGCGUGCGGUGAAAGCUCGGAGCUCAACUCCGAGUCGGCCGUGCGAACUGGGCUCACUGGAGCAUAGUAGAGGCAAGUGGAAUUCCGGGUGUAGCGGUGGAAUGCGUAGAGAUCCGGAAGAACACCGGUGGCGAAGGCGGCCUGCUGGGCUAUGGCUGACACUGAGGCGCGGACAGCGUGGGGAGCAAACAGG